This 303-nucleotide ribosomal RNA is filed under the name uncultured Pseudomonadota bacterium. Its description in RNAcentral is "bacterial SSU rRNA". It matches the Rfam family "Bacterial small subunit ribosomal RNA", at positions 29 to 351 of the family's 1533-position model. Lineage: Bacteria; Pseudomonadati; Pseudomonadota. The record is from RNAcentral.
AACGAACGCUGGCGGCACGCUUAACACAUGCAAGUCGAACGGAAGGUAGCUUGCUAUCUUCAGUGGCGAACGGGUGAGUAACACGUGGGAAUCUGCCUUUUGGUGGGGGAUAACUGGGGGAAACUCCAGCUAAUACCGCAUAAGCUCGGAAACGAGGAAAGAUUAAUUGCCAAAAGAGGAGCCCGCGUCAGAUUAGGUAGUUGGUGGGGUAAUGGCCUACCAAGCCUGUGAUCUGUAGCUGGUCUGAGAGGAUGAUCAGCCACACUGGGAUUGAGAUACGGCCCAGACUCCUACGGGAGGCAG